UCUAACCACACUCUUGCCAAAUCAUCAUAAAUAAAUAUUUUCUUUUUGCCAUAUUAAGCUUUUAUGCCACAUAGGUUGCUUCACAUGGAAUAAUUUUUAAAAAUUUGAGUUUCCCUCUCAUUUUGACUCAAUUGGAUCUUGGAAUAGCAACAAGACAAAAUUAUUGUAAUGGAUCAGGCCCAAUAGGUUUAAGUCCAAAAUUAUAUCAAACAAAAAAAUACUUCCCUCAACAACAAACAGAGUAGUAGCGCUGAAACAUAAUAUAUUUGGCAAAGUGUCACUUUCAUUUUCUCUGUGUUGUGCCCUUCCCAACUUCUAUCUCCGACUUCUUUCUUUCUCCAUCUUCCAUUUUGGUGAAAAACCAAAAGUUGCUACAAGCUUUGACCAAUGCUUUCAAAUUUCAAAAAUCCCUCCAAAAGUUUCAGAAACCAUCCUUAUCUUUAUGACUCCUUCUCUCUUUCUCCUUCUUCUCUCAUAACAACAACAACAACAACAACAGUUACAGACAUCAACAUCAAAUCACCCUCUUCCUCAACAUCUCAUCCUCUAAUUUAAAACCAAAAAUGCUGACAACGAUUGUUUUCUGGUAAAAUUUAUAUUCUGAAACCCUAAAGAAUGAAUCGCGUCAAUCAGUUAGAUACGCGGAGUAACAGCUAUUUUGAAUUAAGAUUAAGAUUUUGGCUGAAAGAUUAAGAUUGGUGAAAGGAUGAAAGCUCUUUAGGAUUUAGUAGUCCCUGGAUGUAAGUUGAAACAAGGUAUGGUUAACUUAAUGUCAAUUUCAGUUUUUUAUAUGCUCUCACCACAUAAUGUAUAACUAAGAAAAAAAUAAGCAUAAGGAAAGAGAAAAAAAAUGUGAUACUUCUCAUAUGAAAAAGAAAAGAACAAAAUUGAGGGGUCAAGUUUAUGAACUUUCAUGGUUUAGUUUGUUAUCACACUAUAUUUAUAUGAAAGAGAUUUGCUUGAGUUAGUGUAUUGAAUAUAAAAAACUAUGUAUUGCAGUGAAUGUGAAAAAGUUUCUUGUAACAUAACAUUUUCUAUUAUGGAAGAAAGUGAUGGAGGAAACUGAUGUUAUUCUCAUUUGGUUUUCAAAAGGAUGAAUAUUUUGUUCCAAUUGAUACUGUCAUUGCCCCACUUGAAGCUGAGAUUAAAAUGUAUAGGAAUGAGAUUACAACACUUCAAGAAGAUAAGAAAGCUUUGGAAAGGAUAAAAAGUCCAAAGAAACUACAUUGAUAGAAAGCAGAGAGGAUUUUGGAAAGUACACUAGAGAAGGCUCUAAUAAUUGAAAAAGUUCAAAAUCAAAAUUUUGACUUAAAGAGACAGAUUGAGAUCUUACAGCUUGCUAACAGAAGACUAGAUCAUGAUACUAUCAAACAAAAAUGACUAUAUGCAAGAUAUAUAGAGUUGGAGCAGCUUGCAUAUUUGUUAUAGAUAGAUUUGUUAUAGAUAGAUGCAUCUUUCAAUAUAAGAGACUUUUCUUGGUUAAUCAAUGUUAGGAACAUAGAAUCUCAAUGCUAGCCAAUGACAAUCUAUCAUAAUCCAUUUUCUUGAUAUUUCUUUGUUAUUCAAGUGCGUUGAAACUUUCUUAGC
Long non-coding RNA from Trifolium pratense (red clover), 1587 nucleotides. RefSeq lists it as uncharacterized. The transcript is spliced from 4 exons. The record is from RefSeq and is a predicted model, not a curated record. Lineage: Eukaryota; Viridiplantae; Streptophyta; Magnoliopsida; Fabales; Fabaceae.